Molecule: ribosomal RNA, 449 nt
Filed under: uncultured bacterium
Lineage: Bacteria
Description: partial 16S ribosomal RNA
Rfam family: Bacterial small subunit ribosomal RNA
Source: RNAcentral
AACGAACGCUGGCGGCAUGCCUAACACAUGCAAGUCGAACGAGAUCUUCGGAUCUAGUGGCGCACGGGUGCGUAACGCGUGGGAAUCUGCCCUUGGGUUCGGAAUAACAGUGAGAAAUUACUGCUAAUACCGGAUGAUGUCUUCGGACCAAAGAUUUAUCGCCCAGGGAUGAGCCCGCGUAGGAUUAGGUAGUUGGUGGGGUAAUGGCCUACCAAGCCGACGAUCCUUAGCUGGUCUGAGAGGAUGAUCAGCCACACUGGGACUGAGACACGGCCCAGACGCCUACGGGAAGCAGCAGUGGGGAAUAUUGGACAAUGGGCGCAAGCCUGAUCCAGCAAUGCCGCGUGAGUGAUGAAGGCCUUAGGGUUGUAAGGCUCUUUUACCAGGGAUGAUAAUGACAGUACCUGGAGAAUAAGCUCCGGCUAACUCCGUGCCAGCCGCCGCAGUAA